UUCCUUCAUCAUUUCCAAACAGCUCAUUUUUUUUCCUUGCUAUUAUCUCCACAAGACUGCAAAUUCUAGAGAGCUGCAGGUGACUUUUAACAGAAAUGAGGAAUGGAUACAAUGGAUAAUUUAAAGCAAGACAGACCUCAGCAGAAAGGAAAAGCUGCCUGCAGAGUGAAUGAUCAGAAAGAACAACACUAAGCAAGAAAAGGAGAAACGUUUAGAAAGGAGGUGGGAUAAAUACCCUAAUAUUCAUAAGACAUAGCUAGGGAAGAACCUGACUAUGGGAACAGCAACAUAUUUGGAUGUCUUUCACAGUCUUUGUAUUCUUCGUAUUGGAUAUCUAAGAAAUGUGCUGUACCUUGACAUUACUGCUUGCUCACCACUCCCUUUGAGUUAUGCAUAUGAAAUGAGAAAUAUGGAUAUAAUACCUUGCCUUGGUGAUUCCUUACAUGUUGACAAUCUUGACUAA
This 463-nucleotide long non-coding RNA is filed under the name Anas platyrhynchos platyrhynchos (common mallard). RNAcentral describes it as "lncRNA (ENSAPLG00000016911.1)". Lineage: Eukaryota; Metazoa; Chordata; Aves; Anseriformes; Anatidae. The record is from RNAcentral.